Molecule: ribosomal RNA, 400 nt
Filed under: uncultured bacterium
Lineage: Bacteria
Description: bacterial SSU rRNA
Rfam family: Bacterial small subunit ribosomal RNA
Source: RNAcentral
ACUCCUACGGGAGGCAGCAGUGGGAAUUUUGGACAAUGGCGCAAGCCUGAUCCAGCCAUGCCGCGUGCGGGAAGAAGGCCUUCGGGUUGUAAACCGCUUUUGUCAGGGAAGAAAAGGUUCUGGCUAAUACCUGGGACUCAUGACGGUACCUGAAGAAUAAGCACCGGCUAACUACGUGCCAGCAGCCGCGGUAAUACGUAGGGUGCAAGCGUUAAUCGGAAUUACUGGGCGUAAAGCGUGCGCAGGCGGUUAUGCAAGACAGAGGUGAAAUCCCCGGCGUCAACCUGGAACUGCCUUUGUGACUGCAUGGCUAGAGUACGGUAGAGGGGGAUGGAAUUCCGCGUGUAGCAGUGAAAUGCGUAGAUAUGCGGAGGAACACCGAUGGCGAAGGCAAUCCCCU